UACAGAGGGUGCGAGCGUUAAUCGGAAUUACUGGGCGUAAAGCGCACGUAGGUGGCGACGUAAGUCGGGUGUGAAAGCCCCGGGCUCAACCUGGGAAUUGCAUUCGAGACUGCAUUGCUGGAGUACGGAAGAGGAGGGCGGAAUUCCCGGUGUAGCGGUGAAAUGCGUAGAUAUCGGGAGGAACAUCAGUGGCGAAAGCGACUUCCUGGUCCAAUACUGACGUUCAUGUGCGAAAGCGUGGGGAGCAAACAGG
Molecule: ribosomal RNA, 253 nt
Filed under: uncultured bacterium
Lineage: Bacteria
Description: partial 16S ribosomal RNA
Rfam family: Bacterial small subunit ribosomal RNA
Source: RNAcentral